Molecule: RNA transcript, 1245 nt
Organism: Zea mays
Lineage: Eukaryota; Viridiplantae; Streptophyta; Magnoliopsida; Poales; Poaceae
Exons: 3
Source: RefSeq, marked validated
AAAAAAUAAGCGGUCGUCAGGCGCCGGGCGAGGGAAGCAGGGAAACAAGGAGCGAGCGAGCCUGCGCCGCUAAGACGGGCGCCGACCGGCGAGCGAUGCAGUCCCCUUCACCUUUUCUUCAUUCUUCCGCAUCGUAAGAGGAUUAGGAAUUUAGGAUCGGGGCCGACAGAGCCCGACGACCAGCAUGGACCACUCGCCCGAUGAUCUGUCGUUGAUGGCGCUCGGCGAGGACGGGGAUCACGGCGCCGCCCUGCCCCUCAUUGCGGACUAGGCAAAGCAUGACGACGAUGGCAUCAUCCGAAAAUGAGCAUGUUGAUGGCGUCAGCGCACAUGGUCACGGAGGUGAAGGCGACCACGUCAGCCAUGGCAGAUGAGGAGCAUCCGGAGAGAAGAGAGGAGGCCUCAGAAGUGAGCUGUGUAUUCUCCAUCGUUGCGCUGAUAGUGUUUCUGAUAAUUAUAGUGUUGUUCGCCUGUUCGGUUGCUUGCCUUGAUUCAUAGCGGUUCCAGCUAGGGUUGAGCUUGCGAGUUGUGGGUUACAUUUAAGGUUCUAUUCCACUACAUGUUCAUGUAUCUAUAUUUUUUCUUCUCCUACGACUUGCCCCCUUUUGAUCCGACAAGAAGAAGAAAAUUAAGGAGGUCGUCAUCCAAAAACCUUCUGAUGGAAUGGACAACUUUGCAGAGAAGACAGAAAAAACACUGGCAGUCACAGAAUCCGGUGUACUUAACUUCACUAGAAUGAGGAAGAUAAACAGGCACAACAGAUACACUCAUUGGGAGCUAGACUAGACAAGUUUAAGAAUCAGAAAAUGAAUCGAGGCUUUACAUUUAGUCAUUGUGCAAGUUUAAAAAUCAACCAGUGAAUUAAGGCUUUACAUUUGUUCAUCCUACAAAAAUUUCAGGUGGAUUUUAAUUCAACUUGAGUACUUUUGCAAUAUCUGGCUCUCCCUGCUUUUCAGAUGAUCAAGUUGUACAGGAACUAGGGGAAGGCAUUAUGCUUUGAAGUGUCCCAACAUACCCUUGGGAGGGAACUGGCCGAGAUUAUAACUAUGAACAGGGUGUUCAACAUUAUUCGCGACAACAACCAGGUCUUGCUGGGAUAGGUGUAGGACCAUUAUGAGGCCACCACAUGUUCUUAGGAAGGGAACAAGGAAGAUAAUUUUUUGUUACUUUUAUAAAUUUGUGUAAAAUGUAAGUUUCAACAUAAUUGUGACAACAUAUUUUUAAUUGGUAGUCCCUCACCUUUUU